CAACCCUCAAGCCCCCCGGGUUUGGUGUUGGGUGCCGGCGUCCAGCGCUCCCCCCGCGGAGCGCCCGCCGCCCCCGAAAUGGAUUGGCGGUCUCGUCGCAGCCUCCCUUGCGUAGUAACAUACCACCUCGCAUGGCGGAGCGCGGCGCGGCCACUGCCGUAAAACAACCCAAUUUCUCAAG
This 181-nucleotide unclassified non-coding RNA is filed under the name uncultured Metacordyceps. RNAcentral's name for it is "sequence contains ITS2". The record is from RNAcentral. Lineage: Eukaryota; Fungi; Ascomycota; Sordariomycetes; Hypocreales; Clavicipitaceae.